RNAcentral lists this ribosomal RNA (765 nucleotides) under uncultured marine bacterium. RNAcentral describes it as "bacterial SSU rRNA". It matches the Rfam family "Bacterial small subunit ribosomal RNA", at positions 30 to 812 of the family's 1533-position model. The record is from RNAcentral.
GGAACGCGGCGGGCGCUUAUGCUGCAAGUCGAGCGAAGCUUUCAGUAGUUUACUACAGACAAAUGACCUGAGCGGCGAACGGGUGAGUAACGCGUGAGCAAUCUACCUUAGUUACAGGGAUAGCCCGAGGAAACUCGGAUUAAUACCUGAUAUUCUUUAUUUCUCGCAUGAGAAUAAAAGGAAAGGUCAGCCGAACUAAGAUGAGCUCGCGUUCUAUCAGCUAGUUGGUGAGGUAAAAGCUCACCAAGGCUACGACGGAUAGCUGGUCUGAGAGGACGAUCAGCCACACUGGGACUGAGACACGGCCCAGACUCCUACGGGAGGCUGCAGCAGGGAAUAUUGCGCAAUGAGCGAAAGCUUGACGCAGCGACACCGCGUGUGGGAUGACGGAUCUAGGUUUGUAAACCACUUUCAGGAGGGAAGAAAAUGACGGUACCUCCACAAGAAGCCCCGGCCAACUACGUGCCAGCAGCCGCGGUAAUACGUAGGGGGCGAGCGUUGUCCGGAUUUAUUGGGCGUAAAGAGCUCGUAGGCGGUUCAACAAGUCGGUCGUGAAAGUUCAGGGCUCAACCCUGAAAUGUCGAUCGAUACUGUUGUGACUAGGAUACGGUAGAGGUGAGUGGAAUUCCGAGUGUAGCGGUGAAAUGCGUAGAUAUUCGGAGGAACACCAAUAGCGAAGGCAGAUCACUGGGCCGUUAUCGACGCUUAUGAGCGAAAGCUAGGGGAGCAAACGGAUUAGAUACCUGUAUCCUGCUGUUACGAUGG